CCUUUGACGUUAGCGGCGGACGGGUGAGUAACACGUGGGUAACCUACCUAUAAGACUGGGAUAACUUCGGGAAACCGGAGCUAAUACCGGAUAAUAUUUCGAACCGCAUGGUUCGAUAGUGAAAGAUGGUUUUGCUAUCACUUAUAGAUGGACCCGCGCCGUAUUAGCUAGUUGGUAAGGUAACGGCUUACCAAGGCACGAUACGUAGCCGACCUGAGAGGGUGAUCGGCCACACUGGAACUGAGACACGGUCCAGACUCCUACGGGAGGCAGCAGC
RNAcentral lists this ribosomal RNA (277 nucleotides) under uncultured Staphylococcus sp. RNAcentral's name for it is "partial 16S ribosomal RNA". It matches the Rfam family "Bacterial small subunit ribosomal RNA", at positions 83 to 355 of the family's 1533-position model. Lineage: Bacteria; Bacillati; Bacillota; Bacilli; Caryophanales; Staphylococcaceae. The record is from RNAcentral.